This 1445-nucleotide long non-coding RNA is filed under the name Falco tinnunculus (common kestrel). RNAcentral describes it as "lncRNA (ENSFTIG00000005984.1)". Lineage: Eukaryota; Metazoa; Chordata; Aves; Falconiformes; Falconidae. The record is from RNAcentral.
CUGCUGGAACAUCGUUCUCCAUUGAUAUACAGCCACCUCCUGGACGGGAUGAUAUAGCAGCUGGCAAACAGCAUAGUUUUAGCAAGACAUUGUGUGCCUUAGGGACUCUUCCCCUUCUUCCUCCCCUUCUUUUCAGCCAGCCAGGGGACAGAAGAGGAGAGUGGCAAUCGGCUGGAGGUCAGUGGACCCAAGGUUGAAAGAGGAGAGCAAGCACUGGGGCUGGUGAGGACCAAGCUGCAGCAACCCUGCCUGCUCAAGGCUGGGGCUUCCCAGAAAUAUUGCACCACCAGGCCCUCACUGGAAAGCCUACAGAAAAGCCUUCAGCUGAGGAGCAGCCAGCUCUGCCAGAGUGCCUGCGAGCGAGCGGGAGAAAAGAAGUGGUCAAAUCUGCAGUAAAGAGGAUUACUUAUGAUGGCCUUUUAAAAAAUUACGCACACAAAGGCGUAAAAGGAAGGAUGUACUCUCUUCACCUUUCCCUUCCAAAGGAAUUGACCUUCUUCUAUCCUAGAUUGUAUUUAGCUGAUGUACAUCUUCAGAUGCAAAUAUGAUUUGAUACAAAGCCUGCUGGACUCAGUGGAAGGGUUUCCACUGGCAUCCAUCAGCACUGAGCCAAGUUCAUAUUACUAAUGAAAUUUCCUAGAUAUUAAUAAUAAACAAUAUCAUGAGUGGCAUUGCCUUUGUUAUAGGUCCAGGGACAUAAUAUUAAAUUUGACACUACCUUAGAAUUCCUGAAACUUUGGUCCAGAGGGCUUUCCAUACUUAGCCAUGAAGCUAACUACAAUGAGAAAAAAGCAGCAGGGAAGUGGGCAAAAUGGUGAAAGACUAUUACCCACAUUUUGAACAGAAGCACAAUGAAAGGAAUAGGUUCCACAGAGCAACCGCAAAUUACUUCACCGUGGCCUCACAGAUCAUAACUGGUUUUUGCUGAUGAUUGGGUAUCAACAGCCAAGAAGAUGCAAUAUCAUUAUUAUUCAAAAAUCUGACCCAUGUGAUUUUUACAUAAUGUUAAAAUGGAAAAUUUGAAGAAAAAGUAUUUUGGGUUUUCAUUAAGUUGUUUUUUUUGUUCCUAAAACCCCCCAAAAGGUCUAAAAGUUAAUAUUCAGUUGACUAAUGACUCUUUCAUCCCACCUCCAGACUGAACUUUUGAAGGAAAUAAAAAUGGCAAUUUUUAAAUGAAAUAAUUUAAAAUACUGGGGGGAAAAAAAAAAAAAAAGAGUGGAAUUUUCAUGUCUGAGUGCCAAAACUGAUCAUUUAAACUUUAGAAGCUAAAUUUCACUCAUAGCUUCUGUUCAUUCAAAUUGCAUUUUCUGGGGACUUUCUUGUCAUCAAAAAUGUAAGAUGGGCAUCGAGUGGAUUUAUUAUGCACUACAACAAAUCCAGGUGAGGGCAAUGCUGUGGCUUUGUGUCAGCAGAGCAGGACAGGAGGCACAGAGGAUGCACAUGAA